The sequence is a small nucleolar RNA, 66 nucleotides long. Its record names the gene SNORD58. It matches the Rfam family "Small nucleolar RNA SNORD58". From Rfam's summary of the family: snoRNA U58 is found in introns 1, 3 and 6 of the ribosomal protein RPL17 gene in humans. U58 is a member of the C/D class of snoRNA which contain C (UGAUGA) and D (CUGA) box motifs. The record is from Ensembl.
UUGCUGGGAUGACUAUCUUAGGACACCUUUGGAUUAACCAUGAAAAAAAACUGUGUUCUGAGCAAC